GCGCCUAUAGCUCAACAGGAUAGAGCAGUUGCCUCCUAAGUGACCGAUCCAAGUUCGAGUCUUGGUGGGCGCA
RNAcentral lists this transfer RNA (73 nucleotides) under Psychrobacter sp. RNAcentral's name for it is "tRNA-Arg". It matches the Rfam family "tRNA". From Rfam's summary of the family: Transfer RNA (tRNA) molecules are approximately 80 nucleotides in length. Their secondary structure includes four short double-helical elements and three loops (D, anti-codon, and T loops). Further hydrogen bonds mediate the characteristic L-shaped molecular structure. tRNAs have two regions of fundamental functional importance: the anti-codon, which is responsible for specific mRNA codon recognition, and the 3' end, to which the tRNAs corresponding amino acid is attached (by aminoacyl-tRNA synthetases). tRNAs cope with the degeneracy of the genetic code in two manners: having more than one tRNA (with a specific anti-codon) for a particular amino acid; and 'wobble' base-pairing, i.e. permitting non-standard base-pairing at the 3rd anti-codon position. The record is from RNAcentral. Lineage: Bacteria; Pseudomonadati; Pseudomonadota; Gammaproteobacteria; Moraxellales; Moraxellaceae.